GAUGAAGAACGCAGCGAAAUGCGAUACUUGGUGUGAAUUGCAGAAUCCCGUGAACCAUCGAGUCUUUGAACGCAAGUUGCGCCCGAAGCCUCGGCUAAGGGCACGUCUGCCUGGGCGUCACGCAUCGCGUCUCCCCCAAACCGCCAAGGCGGAGGGGAAGGAAGAUGGCUUCCCGUGCCUCACCCGGGCGCGGUUGGCCUGAAUUUGGAGCCCGCGGCACUUAGCUCUCGCGGCGAUAGGUGGUGAACAAGGCCUUGGCCGUGCAAACAACCCGCUGCGAAGCUCUAUGUCACGUGCGCUCGUCGGACCCUUUGAAGUUGCCUUUGGUGACUUAAAACCUUUGCGACCCCAGGUCAGGCGGGGCUACCCGCUGAAUUUAAGCAUAUCAAUAACGGAGGA
RNAcentral lists this unclassified non-coding RNA (399 nucleotides) under soil metagenome. Its description in RNAcentral is "partial contains 5.8S ribosomal RNA, internal transcribed spacer 2, and large subunit ribosomal RNA". The stretch from base 1 to 120 matches the Rfam family "5.8S ribosomal RNA", at positions 35 to 154 of the family's 154-position model. The record is from RNAcentral.